CUCAGCAAUAUAAGCUGAUUCUAUUUCAUUUUGUAUUCAUUCAUUCACAAAUUAAUGCAAAGCUCUUCUUCUCUCAAUCUCUCUUCUCCCUCGCAUAGUUCUAUCUGUGUAGGUGCGAUUCCGAUCGCCGUUCUUACCUCCGGCAGCCCCAAUUCUGCACCAGGAACUUACUUAGAUGAUGAGAAAAAGCUUGAUGAAUGAACAAUAUGCAACUCUCCUCUCCUUGCUAGCUAGACUCUUGAAGCACUUUCCUCUAAACUUGAAUGUGUGGAAACAUGAAUUUUUGUGGGUGGAAUGGAUAAGUUUAUAUGAUGAAACUGAUGAGAGAUUGUGAUGGGAAAAAGGGUUGAUAGGGAUGUUCUAUUUAUAGUGAAUUUCUUACCGUGUGAUGUUGAAUGUGGCGACAAGAUACGUAAGGCUCCUCUCCUCUUAUUCUUCAUACUCAUCAUGGUGUUGGGGAUUUUGUUCCUCUGAUUCUAAUUAACUCACCGUUGGAGCAUGCAUGGGGAGGAUUUAUUCAUGCAAGAUUUUGAAAAUGAUAAUGCGUGUGUGCUAUGGCUAGCUGCAACGGGACGAGCAAUUUUGUUUAGGUUUGUAUACUCAAUGUCAUACACUAACUAAACAUUGCACAAUUAUGCCAACUGUUGAGGUUUUGGGGCACUUUAGGCCUUUCUUUGCUGCGUGCAUUUGAAUAAGCAAUAUAUCUGGGAUAUUAAGAAACCUAUUUAAUAUAGUAAGCAUUAUAUCUGGGUUGUCGAGUAGUACUAGUUCAGUCAUGCAUUUUAGCUCAUUCAUCAGAUCGAUAUUUGCCAUGUUUUUCUGUUAAUUGUGGCUUCAUUAUAAAAACUUUUUUAUAUAGUAUAUGUUAUGUGCAGGCUCUUCCACUAUAUCUGGAUAAGUUGUUUCCUAUUGUUGCUGUCAUUCCGUCGACUGUUGAUAAUCCCUCAAGCAGCUUGCUCUAGACAUGGUUGGUUGCGGGUGCUUAUUGUGUAUGGCUUGUGCACAUUUUGAUGAUCAUUUGCUACCCGAUUGCUUACCCUGUUGAAAAGCCUAUGAAAUUGAUCAAACGGAAGACAUGACAAUGCUGAGUUGGUUCAAAAAAGGAAAGAAUGAGGACAGAGAUUACUGCUGCCCCAUUUGCUUUGAUGACUUCCACAUUCUAUGUUGGGCUAACUGUCGCCAUUGGUUUUGUGGCAAGUCUCUCUCUUUCUGCAUUUUUUUCUUUUCAACUUCAACUUGAAAUGAAGAAAUUGGAGUCUUAAAUUUGUGGGUUUUGUUUUCUUGUUGCCUCUGCCUAAAAAAGAAAUGCAGCUUCUAUUUAUCAAUAUUUGAUUAAAUGUGGGAGGAAAUGAAUAGAUUAAAUGUGUUUCAUGGAAAAUUUCCAGUAUUGCAAGUGUCAUAGGUGUCGAUCCUUGAUAUCUAAUCUGGUUCCCUUCAGCCAGGAAGACAAGUUCGCAAGAUACUCAGAGAGCUCAAGCGACACAAUUAGUUCAAGUACUUUUGUUUAGUUUUCUGUACAAGUAAAUAUUGGUGUAUGCUGCUUUUACAUUCAUAUGCAAUGUCUUGACAUGUUUCCUCUAGAUGGAUGUAAUGAGAUUGAAUGGAUAACUGCUAACUCAUAUCUGUUAAU
Molecule: long non-coding RNA, 1630 nt
Organism: Salvia splendens (bonfire salvia)
Lineage: Eukaryota; Viridiplantae; Streptophyta; Magnoliopsida; Lamiales; Lamiaceae
Exons: 3
Source: RefSeq, a predicted model, not a curated record